AGAGCGGUAUGGAUAGUCGCUGCUGCAUGAAAAUUGCAGGAGAGGAAAGUCCGGGCUUCACAGGGCAGGAUGCCUGAUAACGUCAGGUGGGCGUGAGCCUAAGGAAAGUGCAACAGAAAGGAUACCGCCCGUAUGCAUUUACGGGUAAGGGUGAAAUGGCGGUGUAAGAGACCACCGGCAGUCCGGUAACGGAGUGCGCAUUGUAAACCCCAUCCGAAGCAAGGCCGCGAAGAAGCGAUAUGGCUGCCCGCCAUGCUUCGGGUAGGCCGCUUGAGGCCUAUGGUGACAUAGGUCCUAGAUAGAUGACUAUCCGCGACAUAACCCGGCUUACAGUACCGCUCAUAUU
This 346-nucleotide RNase P RNA is filed under the name Eubacteriales bacterium. Its description in RNAcentral is "RNase P RNA component class A". It matches the Rfam family "Bacterial RNase P class A". Rfam says of the family: Ribonuclease P (RNase P) is a ubiquitous endoribonuclease, found in archaea, bacteria and eukarya as well as chloroplasts and mitochondria. Its best characterised activity is the generation of mature 5'-ends of tRNAs by cleaving the 5'-leader elements of precursor-tRNAs. Lineage: Bacteria; Bacillati; Bacillota; Clostridia; Eubacteriales. The record is from RNAcentral.